UUUAUGGAGAGUUUGAUCCUGGCUCAGGAUGAACGCUGGCGGCGUGCCUAAUACAUGCAAGUCGAGCGAACAGACGAGGAGCUUGCUCCUUUGACGUUAGCGGCGGACGGGUGAGUAACACGUGGGUAACCUACCUAUAAGACUGGGAUAACUUCGGGAAACCGGAGCUAAUACCGGAUAAUAUUUCGAACCGCAUGGUUCGAUAGUGAAAGAUGGCUCUGCUAUCACUUAUAGAUGGACCUGCGCCGUAUUAGCUAGUUGGUAAGGUAACGGCUUACCAAGGCAACGAUACGUAGCCGACCUGAGAGGGUGAUCGGCCACACUGGAACUGAGACACGGUCCAGACUCCUACGGGAGGCAGCAGUAGGG
This 369-nucleotide ribosomal RNA is filed under the name Clostridium perfringens. RNAcentral describes it as "bacterial SSU rRNA". It matches the Rfam family "Bacterial small subunit ribosomal RNA", at positions 1 to 359 of the family's 1533-position model. The record is from RNAcentral. Lineage: Bacteria; Bacillati; Bacillota; Clostridia; Eubacteriales; Clostridiaceae.